GAAAUGCGAUAAGUAGUGUGAAUUGCAGAAUUCAGUGAAUCAUCGAAUCUUUGAACGCACAUUGCGCCUCCUGGUAUUCCGGGAGGCAUGCCUGUUCGAGCGUCAUUAAAAUCUCUCAAGCUUAGGUUUUUACCUAUUGCUUGGUCUUGGAGAUGGAAGCCAAUUCAUUGGAAUCCUCUUCGAAAUUCAAUGGCGAAGACCCUUGCUCUCCCAAGUGUAGUAAUAACUUAUAUCACUGAAGGAAGCGAGAAAUCUUCCGCCGAAACCCCCAUAUUUUCUAUGAUUGACCUCGGAUCAGGUAGGGAUACCCGCUGAACUUAA
This 321-nucleotide unclassified non-coding RNA is filed under the name uncultured Ascomycota. RNAcentral's name for it is "sequence contains ITS1". The stretch from base 1 to 105 matches the Rfam family "5.8S ribosomal RNA", at positions 50 to 154 of the family's 154-position model. Lineage: Eukaryota; Fungi; Ascomycota. The record is from RNAcentral.